This 97-nucleotide transfer RNA is filed under the name compost metagenome. RNAcentral describes it as "tRNA-Met". The record is from RNAcentral.
UGAUGGGCGCUACGGGUUCCACAGUAGAUCCACGCCAUGCGUGGAUGGGUGUCGCGCACGCACAAAAAAACCCCGGCGCUGGGCCGGGGUUUUUCGA